AGAUAAGUGCUGAAAGCAUCUAAGCACGAAACUUGCCCCGAGAUGAGUUCUCCCUGAGACUUUAAGUCUCCUGAAGGAACGUUGAAGACGACGACGUUGAUAGGCCGGGUGUGUAAGCGCAGUGAUGCGUUGAGCUAACCGGUACUAAUGAACCGUGAGGCUUAACCUU
This 169-nucleotide ribosomal RNA is filed under the name Klebsiella pneumoniae. RNAcentral's name for it is "partial 23S ribosomal RNA". It matches the Rfam family "Bacterial large subunit ribosomal RNA", at positions 2762 to 2925 of the family's 2925-position model. The record is from RNAcentral. Lineage: Bacteria; Pseudomonadati; Pseudomonadota; Gammaproteobacteria; Enterobacterales; Enterobacteriaceae.